UGUGACGAACUCCUAGACUCCGCCGGCGUCACGCCAAGCUAAUCCGGAAUUCGCUAGGGGAUUUGGAUUGAAUUAGAGAGGAAGGGGAUGAACUAAGAGAGAGAGAGAGAGAGGUAGUUCGAUUGUAUUUGAUUUCUUCUCAUCGAUACCUGCUCAUCGGCAGGGAGUUUCCCUUUUAACGGGUACAAGGCACACGCACUCGACGCGACCGCCAGCCCAGCACGGCACGUCGAAAACACACACACACAAUCCAGUCCAAGGCCCACAACAAGCCAGGCCCAAACACACUGUUACACUCAAUACAGGGAAUGGCAACAACUGACAAGCUACAGCAAACACAACUCAUAACAAUUUCCCCCGCUUAAGAAGAGGCUUGUCCCCAAGCCGGAGAAGAUGGGAAACGAAAUUGCAGCUGUCGUAGAUUCUCCCAUUUAGCAAGAGCGGCAGGCAAACCAGUCCAACGGACUAAUCCAUUGGGCACAGCUGAUUUACCUCGCUUGAUGAGUUGGCGGUGCAAAAUUUCUUCAGGAAUAACUGCUGCAUCUUCUGCCAUGCAAUUUGCUGGAAGAUCGGCUUGAACUUGGACAUCAGGACGAAUUGCCUUCUUGAGAAGAGACACAUGGACUACUGGAUGAACUUGAUUUUGUGGGGGCAAGUCUAAUUUGUAUGCCACCUCUCCAAUGCGCUCCAAAAUCUUGUAUGGACCAAAGUACCUUAAACACAAUUUCUGACAACUACGUUAGCAACUGACAUCUGAACAUAUGGUUGUAAUUUCAAAUAAACCAUAUCCCCAAAAUUGAAAACUCUUCAUUACUGCCUUCUGAUUCACAAUCUUGCCCAGCUUCCUGAUUCUCUUGAAUUUGAAGAACUUCAAGUAAUUCCUCCAAGACAUGCAACUGAACAGAUUUUUAGCAUUUAUGGCCAGGUCCCCACUUUUCUCCACAUUUGAAACAUUCUCCUUUAGCUCUCCUGGAAGCCUUCAAGGACUCAAAUCUGUCCUCCCAUUUUGGUUUCUCUUCAGUUUUUCCAGCAUCAUCAGGAGCAUGCCCCAAUAUUCCCUUGCCGCUGACUUGUAAUUCUGUUUGUACCCCAGCUUUUGAGUACCCUUCUUCAACUCCAAGACAAGUUCCUCCUGCGUUUUGGCAAGAGAUAAAGCCGUAUCAACAGUCCUGGGCCUAUGCAGCUUGAUAGCUGCUUUGAUUUCAGUUUUUAGACCCCCAACAAACUUUGUGACAAAAUAGGUUUCAUCAUAGGCCUGAUUAUAAACUGUCCCUAUGCAUUAAUUCCUCAAACUUGGUAUAAUACUCCUCAACACCAACAAUUAGCCUAAGCCCUUCUAACUCUUCUAAAUGUUCCUGAUAUUUGUCCUUGCCAAAUUUGCUAUGCACUGCUAUACAGAGUUCAGGCCAAGUUUCAACACUAUGGAGGGCCUCAUUGGUUUGGAGCCACAAGGCAGCAUUUCCUACAAAGUGGAGGGUAGAAAAUUUUGCCCAAUUUUCAUAAGACACUUGAUACAUUUCAAAAUACUUUUCAGAGUUCUUCUUCCAGAGCUUAGGAUUGUCACCAUCAAACUUUGGGAAAUCAGACUUUGGAAGCCUAGGACCAUGGAAUCUAUUGCUGGAUUGAUUCUGAACUGAAGACUCUCCUAUAUCAAAAGUGAUGGGAGAGUUAGGGAAUCGGGACUUACCCUUGACCAGGAAUCGAUCCUGAGCCGCGAGGGCUUUGGAUUCGUCUCCCUGGUGAUUCUCGGUUUCGCCGUGCCCGAUGGGCGUUGGGGUCGUCAUCCCCGAUGCCGCUGCAGGUGAGUUCUCCAGAACCGUCACCCUUGCGGCAAUUCCUUCCACGGCCUUGUUCAGAGCUUGGAUCCCCGUGUCCACCGAUGGAAUCCACGUCUCCAGCUUGGUCAGUGACCCCAGGAGGUCGUUGAGGUUGCUUGCGAGCUCCCCAACUCGCUGAUUCAGAUCGACGAGCUCUGCCUUCACAGCAACCAUCCUCUCCGUGAGAUUUGGCCCCUUCUUCAUCGCCAGCGGAAUCAGAUUGUGACGAACUCCUAGACUCCACCGGCGUCACGCCAAGCUAAUCCAGAAUUCGCUAGGGGAUUUGGAUUGAAUUAGAGAGGAAGGGGAUGACCUGAGAGAGAGAGAGAGAGAGAGAGAGAGGUAGUUCGAUUGUAUUUGAUUUCUUCUCAUCGAUACUUGCUCAUCGGCAGGGAGUUUCCCUUUUAACGGGUACAAG
RNAcentral lists this long non-coding RNA (2235 nucleotides) under Oryza sativa (Asian cultivated rice). RNAcentral's name for it is "long non-coding RNA (OSAT_LNC001839)". Lineage: Eukaryota; Viridiplantae; Streptophyta; Magnoliopsida; Poales; Poaceae. The record is from RNAcentral.